UCCGAUAUGGUGUAACGGCUAACAUUACCGCCUUUCAUCUGUUUGAAAUUGUCUGGUGUGAGCGCGGUAGCUCGGGGUUCGAUUCCCCGUAUCGGAG
Panus rudis PR-1116 ss-1 is the source of this 97-nucleotide non-coding RNA. NCBI's taxonomy places the organism in Eukaryota, Fungi, Basidiomycota, Agaricomycetes, Polyporales, Panaceae. The record is from the annotation of a GenBank genome assembly.